Long non-coding RNA from Macadamia integrifolia, 1002 nucleotides. RefSeq lists it as uncharacterized. The record is from RefSeq and is a predicted model, not a curated record. The transcript has 2 exons. Lineage: Eukaryota; Viridiplantae; Streptophyta; Magnoliopsida; Proteales; Proteaceae.
AAGGGAGAGCUUCUUGAAUUGGGAACCGCUAUCAGCCAGCCCUAUGGUCAAUCCUUUGCAGGAUUUUGGGGCUUUGUUUAAGCCCCCAGAAUAGACCUUCAACCAAGAGCUAAGGGCCAUUCAAAACCGGCUACUGUUUCUGUUAUCUGGGUGGUUUCAAGACUUGCAACAGUCCUAAUUUCAGUUACUAUUUUCUGGGUAACUUCUAGACCACAUAUCUCUCCAACCAUUAGUCCAUCAAGGCUAAUAAUUUGAGGACCAAUCAAGCCCUACCUGAAGAAGGUUCGACCAUCACAGAUUGACCACCAGACACUUGCCACCUCAGUUCUUGGAGAUCAACAGAAUAUUCCUUAUUUAAGACCUGAGAUCAAGAACCUGCAGAUCUCUCAGAUCUGUGACCUGUUGGAAGAGGCAUUUUAGGGUUUUGUCAGGGACACCAAGGGAGCUACUCAAUCCAAGUUUGAGCCCCAUCAGAGGCUCCUUCAGACAGCCGCAGAGUCGGAGCUUCUUCUCCAGUUUACAAUGCAACACAAACUGCGGUCUAGCCAUUGUGCGUGAUUGCAAAGAUAAUAUUCACCUUUUUCUGUGGGGCAGAGUUGGAACUUCUUCUCCAGUCUAUGUAUUUUCCUUCUCGGCAACAGAGGAACUAGGCCUACUCUUCCAACAUAGCAGACGACUACAUAUACACUUUUUUUCUGUGGGGCAGAGUUAAAGCUUCUUCUCUAGUCUAUGGAUUUACCUUCUCUGCAUCAGUGGCACUAGCCUACUCUUCCAACGUAGCAGACGACUACAUAUAUUCACUUCUUUUCUGUGGGGUCUGUUGGAGCUUCUUCUCUAGUCUAUGGAUUGUGGCACUAGGCCUACUCUUCUAAUGUAGCAAACGACUAACAAACUUACCUAUGGUGUGUGCAUUUGUGGUAGAGAAACAUAUAUCUUGAAUAUUUUCAAUUUUCCACUUGUACAACACUAAACAAAAAUAGAAGAAGUUUCAUUUUCCUUCAA